This 301-nucleotide ribosomal RNA is filed under the name uncultured bacterium. RNAcentral describes it as "partial 16S ribosomal RNA". It matches the Rfam family "Bacterial small subunit ribosomal RNA", at positions 509 to 809 of the family's 1533-position model. The record is from RNAcentral.
CAGUCGCCGCGGUAAUACGAAGGGUGCAAGCGUUACUCGGAAUUACUGGGCGUAAAGCGUGCGUAGGUGGUGGUUUAAGUCCGUUGUGAAAGCCCUGGGCUCAACCUGGGAAUUGCAUCCAAAACUGGCAAGCUAGAGUAUGGUAGAGGGUGGUGGAAUUUCCUGUGUAGCGGUGAAAUGCGUAGAUAUAGGAAGGAACACCAGUGGCGAAGGCGACCACCUGGACUGAUACUGACACUGAGGUGCGAAAGCGUGGGGAGCAAACAGGAUUAGAGACCCGCGUAGUCCCUGUCUCUUAUCC